Molecule: transfer RNA, 73 nt
Filed under: bacterium AB1
Lineage: Bacteria
Description: tRNA-Leu
Rfam family: tRNA
About the family: Transfer RNA (tRNA) molecules are approximately 80 nucleotides in length.
Source: RNAcentral
GCGAUCAUGGUGAAAUGGUAGACACACUAGAUUUAGGUUCUAGGUUUUGCAGGUUCAAGUCCUGUUGGUCGUA